AUUGAACGCUGGCGGCAGGCCUAACACAUGCAAGUCGAGCGGAUGAAGGGAGCUUGCUCCUGGAUUCAGCGGCGGACGGGUGAGUAAUGCCUAGGAAUCUGCCUGGUAGUGGGGGAUAACGUCCGGAAACGGGCGCUAAUACCGCAUACGUCCUGAGGGAGAAAGUGGGGGAUCUUCGGACCUCACGCUAUCAGAUGAGCCUAGGUCGGAUUAGCUAGUUGGUGGGGUAACGGCCUACCAAGGCGACGAUCCGUAACUGGUCUGAGAGGAUGAUCAGUCACCCUGGACGUGAGACACGGUCCAGACUCCUACGGGAGGCAGCAGUGGGGAAUAUUGGACAAUGGGCGAAAGCCUGAUCCAGCCAUGCCGCGUGUGUGAAGAAGGUCUUCGGAUUGUAAAGCACUUUAAGUUGGGAGGAAGGGCAGUAAGUUAAUACCUUGCUGUUUUGACGUUACCAACAGAAUAAGCACCGGCUAACUUCGUG
This 484-nucleotide ribosomal RNA is filed under the name uncultured bacterium. RNAcentral's name for it is "partial 16S ribosomal RNA". It matches the Rfam family "Bacterial small subunit ribosomal RNA", at positions 30 to 507 of the family's 1533-position model. The record is from RNAcentral.